Molecule: ribosomal RNA, 497 nt
Filed under: uncultured bacterium
Lineage: Bacteria
Description: partial 16S ribosomal RNA
Rfam family: Bacterial small subunit ribosomal RNA
Source: RNAcentral
GAUGAACGCUGGCGGCGUGCCUAAUACAUGCAAGUCGAGCGAACAGACGAGGAGCUUGCUCCUCUGACGUUAGCGGCGGACGGGUGAGUAACACGUGGAUAACCUACCUAUAAGACUGGGAUAACUUAGGGAAACCGGAGCUAAUACCGGAUAAUAUAUUGAACCGCAUGGUUCAAUAGUGAAAGACGGUUUUGCUGUCACUUAUAGAUGGAUCCGCGCCGCAUUAGCUAGUUGGUAAGGUAACGGCUUACCAAGGCAACGAUGCGUAGCCGACCUGAGAGGGUGAUCGGCCACACUGGAACUGAGACACGGACCAGACUCCUACGGGAGGCAGCAGUAGGGAAUCUUCCGCAAUGGGCGAAAGCCUGACGGAGCAACGCCGCGUGAGUGAUGAAGGUCUUCGGAUCGUAAAACUCUGUUAUUAGGGAAGAACAAAUGUGUAAGUAACUAUGCACGUCUUGACGGUACCUAAUCAGAAAGCCACGGCUAACUACGUG